UCUGUGCCGACCCGACGGUCUCUCCUCUCCCGAGCUCGAUCCUCAUCUCGCCGCCGCCGUCCUCCUCGCUCCAUCCCCAGCACUAGCACCGCCAUGGAAUAGCGCAACUUGGCGCUGGCGGUGGCCUCCGUGAGCCUUCCUCUAUUGCCGCCUCCUCUCACCGGUCUGUGUGGCCUCAAUGAAACCCUAGCAUCACGACGCAACUCUAGCGGCACAAUCGUCUGGCCUCUUCCUCGUCGGCGGCAACGGCGACGGUGAUGCUCAACGGCUGGAUCUACCGAAGCCUGCGUCGGCUGCGGUUUCUCCAUCUGCUUGCUUCCUGCUCAGUUCGAGGAUAUUUUAUUUUGCUGCAGGGCUGCCCAAAAUGUUGGGUCGACAGGUGCGAUAUAAUCAAAGGCAUUUAUGUCACGUAUAACAGGCAAGUGACCUUUUCCAUUUUAUACUUUGCGUUUAUAUGAAUUGAGCAAUCUGUUGGUACGAAUGCACUUCCAUUCUCACUUUCGUAGCUAAAAUAGUGCAGCAUACCUUAUGAUUUCAAGCACUUCCAUCUCACUUCCGUAUUCUGAUAGAGAUCACACACAAUACCAAUUAAAAGAGCUCCAUGAAUUACCAUUUUAUAUGUUUUCUUGUUGAACUUUAUUUUAUUCCUUUCUAUGCAUAAAAAACAUAAAACACUUCUGAUAAGGUCGUUUGUAAUUAAUUUUGCCACUUACCUCAAUAUGUUUAGUUUAUAAUGUUGUGUAGAGACCUUUAUUUGAA
Long non-coding RNA from Sorghum bicolor (sorghum), 759 nucleotides. RefSeq lists it as uncharacterized. The transcript has 4 exons. The record is from RefSeq and is a predicted model, not a curated record. Lineage: Eukaryota; Viridiplantae; Streptophyta; Magnoliopsida; Poales; Poaceae.